GGCGUAAGGGCUCGCAGGCGGUUUCUUAAGUCUGAUGUGAAAGCCCCCGGCUCAACCGGGGAGGGUCAUUGGAAACUGGGAAACUUGAGUGCAGAAGAGGAGAGUGGAAUUCCACGUGUAGCGGUGAAAUGCGUAGAGAUGUGGAGGAACACCAGUGGCGAAGGCGACUCUCUGGUCUGUAACUGACGCUGAGGAGCGAAAGCGUGGGGAGCGAACAGGAUUAGAUACCCUGGUAGUCCACGCCGUAAACGAUGAGUGCUAAGUGUUAGGGGGUUUCCGCCCCUUAGUGCUGCAGCUAACGCAUUAAGCACUCCGCCUGGGGAGUACGGUCGCAAGACUGAAACUCAAAGGAAUUGACGGGGGCCCGCACAAGCGGUGGAGCAUGUGGUUUAAUUCGAAGCAACGCGAAGAACCUUACCAGGUCUUGACAUCCUCUGACAACCCUAGAGAUAGGGCUUUCCCUUCGGGGACAGAGUGACAGGUGGUGCAUGGUUGUCGUCAGCUCGUGUCGUGAGAUGUUGGGUUAAGUCCCGCAACGAGCG
Molecule: ribosomal RNA, 542 nt
Filed under: Bacillus pumilus
Lineage: Bacteria; Bacillati; Bacillota; Bacilli; Caryophanales; Bacillaceae
Description: bacterial SSU rRNA
Rfam family: Bacterial small subunit ribosomal RNA
Source: RNAcentral